UCUUCAGUGGAAAGUAAUACAGAUGCAAUGAAAAUACAGAGAAGUGAAUAUGCUUUGCCAAGGAUUCUAUCCAGGCCCAGAUAACUGUCAAGACCAAUUAUAGAAGCUUGCCAUUCUGCUCUUUUGGAGAGAUGCUGACUUCUUCCUUAUCAAGUGAGGUAAACGAUGCCCUUAUAGUUCCAAAAUCUUCAUAUUUGUAGUGU
Molecule: long non-coding RNA, 203 nt
Filed under: Sarcophilus harrisii (Tasmanian devil)
Lineage: Eukaryota; Metazoa; Chordata; Mammalia; Dasyuromorphia; Dasyuridae
Description: lncRNA (ENSSHAG00000022793.1)
Source: RNAcentral